GAUGAACGCUGGCGGCGUGCCUAAUACAUGCAAGUCGAGCGAACGGACGAGAAGCUUGCUUCUCUGCUGUUAGCGGCGGACGGGUGAGUAACACGUGGAUAACCUUCCUAUAAGACUGGGAUAACUUCGGGAAACCGGAGCUAAUACCGGAUCAUAUUUUGAACCGCAUGGUUCAAAAGUGCUAGACAGUCUUGCUGUCACUAUUAGAUGGAUCCGCGCUGCAUUAGCUAGUUGGUAAGGUAACGGCUUACCAAGGCAACGAUGCAUAGCCGACCUGAGAGGGUGAUCGGCCACACUGGAACUGAGACACGGUCCAGACUCCUACGGGAGGCAGCAGUAGGGAAUCUUCCGCAAUGGGCGAAAGCCUGACGGAGCAACGCCGCGUGAGUGAUGAAGGUCUUCGGAUCGUAAAACUCUGUUAUUAGGGAAGAGCAUAUGUGUAAGUAACUGUGCACAUCUUGACGGUACCUAAUCAGAAAGCCACGGCUAACUACGUG
RNAcentral lists this ribosomal RNA (497 nucleotides) under uncultured bacterium. Its description in RNAcentral is "partial 16S ribosomal RNA". It matches the Rfam family "Bacterial small subunit ribosomal RNA", at positions 28 to 507 of the family's 1533-position model. The record is from RNAcentral.